RNAcentral lists this ribosomal RNA (882 nucleotides) under Bacillus velezensis. RNAcentral describes it as "bacterial SSU rRNA". It matches the Rfam family "Bacterial small subunit ribosomal RNA", at positions 1 to 871 of the family's 1533-position model. Lineage: Bacteria; Bacillati; Bacillota; Bacilli; Caryophanales; Bacillaceae. The record is from RNAcentral.
CCGASUAGAUUUUUUCUGCUCAGGACGAACGCUGGCGGCGUGCCUAAUACAUGCAAGUCGAGCGGACAGAUGGGAGCUUGCUCCCUGAUGUUAGCGGCGGACGGGUGAGUAACACGUGGGUAACCUGCCUGUAAGACUGGGAUAACUCCGGGAAACCGGGGCUAAUACCGGAUGGUUGUUUGAACCGCAUGGUUCAGACAUAAAAGGUGGCUUCGGCUACCACUUACAGAUGGACCCGCGGCGCAUUAGCUAGUUGGUGAGGUAACGGCUCACCAAGGCACGAUGCGUAGCCGACCUGAGAGGGUGAUCGGCCACACUGGGACUGAGACACGGCCCAGACUCCUACGGGAGGCAGCAGUAGGGAAUCUUCCGCAAUGGACGAAAGUCUGACGGAGCAACGCCGCGUGAGUGAUGAAGGUUUUCGGAUCGUAAAGCUCUGUUGUUAGGGAAGAACAAGUGCCGUUCAAAUAGGGCGGCACCUUGACGGUACCUAACCAGAAAGCCACGGCUAACUACGUGCCAGCAGCCGCGGUAAUACGUAGGUGGCAAGCGUUGUCCGGAAUUAUUGGGCGUAAAGGGCUCGCAGGCGGUUUCUUAAGUCUGAUGUGAAAGCCCCCGGCUCAACCGGGGAGGGUCAUUGGAAACUGGGGAACUUGAGUGCAGAAGAGGAGAGUGGAAUUCCACGUGUAGCGGUGAAAUGCGUAGAGAUGUGGAGGAACACCAGUGGCGAAGGCGACUCUCUGGUCUGUAACUGCCUGAGGAGCGAAAGCGUGGGGAGCGAACAGGAUUAGAUACCCUGGUAGUCCACGCCGUAAACGAUGAGUGUAAGUGUUAGGGGGUUUCCGCCCCUUAGUGCUGCAGCUAACGCAUUAAGCACCCCCG